UUCAUCGUUUUCUACUUCUCCUUUUUCUUCUUCUUCGUCUUCUUCGAUUUCGAUUUCGAGACACGAGCAUGUAAACGGAGCCUCUUUCUAGACGGUAAUUUCCGGGGAAUGCGCCGAUAGCCCUUCUUCGUUCGUGUCGAAAAACGGUGUACCUUUGUACCUCUUUUCUCCUUCUUCCUUUUACCCCAUUUUUGUGAUCGAUGGAAGAUGGUCCAGGAGUAAACACGACCGCUACAAUUAUUUCCAUCUUUUAGCAGUGUUCGUCCAACGUCGGCGUUCAUUCUUUUUGAAAAUAAUUAAAUCCAGGAUCGAAUCGUAAAAUGCGAUGGACGCUCGUAAAGAUAACAGAGAAAAUAAGAAAUGCGAUUCGAAGAUCUGGUGCUCGUUAGUACAGCGAGAAGGGUACAUUGCCUUCGAGAGAAGCAAGGAGAGAAAGAAGAAAAGGAAAACGAGAAGCAGUGAAAGGGAGAAUAGGUACGUAGGGCAGGUAUGCGGGUGAGAAACACCCGAGGCGCAUCCAGAUCCGCCCACGUUUAAGUCGCACACCCGCGUUGCUGGCCGGCACUCUUCCAUCAGGACUUGCCCCUUGGGCUUUUUCGGAAAGAGGGAGAAAGAGAAGGGGAGGGAGAGAAUGAGUCUCCUCCACCUGCAGAGAGAAACACAGCUCGUGCACGCGAUCCACGACCGAACGCCCCCGCGGGCACACGCCGUCAUCGCGCCAGCUUUCAGGAAGGAGGAAGAUCCAAGAAGAAGAAGAAGAAGAAGAAGA
This is a long non-coding RNA of Vespula pensylvanica (western yellowjacket), 769 nucleotides long. RefSeq lists it as uncharacterized. The transcript is spliced from 3 exons. The record is from RefSeq and is a predicted model, not a curated record. Lineage: Eukaryota; Metazoa; Arthropoda; Insecta; Hymenoptera; Vespidae.